GGACAUACAUAAAGACCAGGC
This 21-nucleotide unclassified non-coding RNA is filed under the name synthetic construct. Its description in RNAcentral is "RNA (5'-D(*(MGT))-R(P*GP*AP*CP*AP*UP*AP*CP*AP*UP*AP*AP*AP*GP*AP*CP*CP*AP*GP*GP*C... from synthetic construct (PDB 8P4E, chain P)". The record is from RNAcentral.